Molecule: unclassified non-coding RNA, 392 nt
Filed under: soil metagenome
Description: partial contains 5.8S ribosomal RNA, internal transcribed spacer 2, and large subunit ribosomal RNA
Rfam family: 5.8S ribosomal RNA (bases 1-122)
Source: RNAcentral
GAUGAAGAACGUAGCGAAAUGCGAUACCUGGUGUGAAUUGCAGAAUCCCGCGAACCAUCGAGUCUUUGAACGCAAGUUGCGCCCGAGGCCACCCGGCUGAGGGCACGCCUGCCUGGGCGUCACGCCAAUACACGCUCCCACCACCCUCAAUGGGUAGCGGGAUGCGGAUUCUGGCCCUCCGUGCCGUGAGGCGCGGCGGGCCGAAGAUCGGCCUGCCGGCGUACCGUGCCGGACACAGCGCGUGGUGGACUUCUACUCAGCGCAGUGCAUUCGACAUGUAGCCGGCGCAACGGCCCCCAUGGACCCAACGAACGGAGCGCAUGUCGCCCCGACCGCGACCCCAGGUCAGGCGGGACUACCCGCUGAGUUUAAGCAUAUCAAUAAGCGGAGGA